GGGGAUUUAGCUCAGUGGUAGAGCGCUUGCCUAGCAAUAGCAAGGCCCUGGGUUCGGUCCCCAGCUCCG
This is a non-coding RNA of Rattus norvegicus (Norway rat), 69 nucleotides long. NCBI's taxonomy places the organism in Eukaryota, Metazoa, Chordata, Mammalia, Rodentia, Muridae. The record is from Rfam.